Molecule: ribosomal RNA, 209 nt
Filed under: uncultured bacterium
Lineage: Bacteria
Description: partial 16S ribosomal RNA
Rfam family: Bacterial small subunit ribosomal RNA
Source: RNAcentral
CGGAUUGUAGGCUGAAACUCGCCUACAUGAAGCUGGAGUUGCUAGUAAUCGCGAAUCAGCAUGUCGCGGUGAGUACGUUCCCGGGCCUUGUACACACCGCCCGUCACACCAUGAGAGUUGGCAAUACCCAACGUACGUGAUCUAAUCCGCAAGGGAGGAAGCGUCCUAAGGUAGGGUCAGCGAUUGGGGUGAAGUCGUAACAAGGUACC